RNAcentral lists this long non-coding RNA (448 nucleotides) under Cyanistes caeruleus (blue tit). RNAcentral describes it as "lncRNA (ENSCCEG00000011951.1)". Lineage: Eukaryota; Metazoa; Chordata; Aves; Passeriformes; Paridae. The record is from RNAcentral.
CUUGGGUGGAUGGCAAAGGUCAUGCACCACAGCUUGGAUUGGCACCAAAUCACUCUAUCUGUCCCCUUUCUCAGCUGUGCAAGAGGAAGAAACUACUAUAGAGAGCAAUUCAUAGAGUAUUAUCACGAGAAGAGACAGUUUUUUGACUUGUUCCAGCACAGUGUCUGUGAGAAAAAGGUGCUUUCAGGUCAACACCAGCUAUUUCAGGAAAAGACGCUGGCAAUAUCAGACCAGGGCUUCCAUCAGUGAAGUCACACAGGUAUCUCUGCUAAAUAUUUUUGUGGCACUGAAUGAGGUUUCUAAUAUGGUAAUUAUGUUUUGAAAGCAGAGAGGCUGUGAAAAAUGGCAGGUAAAGCAGGAAUAACUGAGGCUUCUGGAGCAAGGGACAAGAAGCAAGACAAUAGAGGAAAGAAAUAUUUUAUAAGCCUGUGACUGAAGACUGGGAGGU